Calypte anna (Anna's hummingbird) is the source of this 43-nucleotide non-coding RNA. The record is from Rfam. NCBI's taxonomy places the organism in Eukaryota, Metazoa, Chordata, Aves, Apodiformes, Trochilidae.
UUAAAGGAUCUUUUAAGAUCCAUUCCAACCCAAAAUAUUCUAU